GAUGAACGCUGGCGGCGUGCCUAAUACAUGCAAGUCGAGCGAACAGACGAGGAGCUUGCUCCUCUGACGUUAGCGGCGGACGGGUGAGUAACACGUGGAUAACCCACCUAUAAGACUGGGAUAACUUCGGGAAACCGGAGCUAAUACCGGAUAAUAUAUUGAACCGCAUGGUUCAAUAGUGAAAGACGGUUUUGCUGUCACUUAUAGAUGGAUCUGCGCUGCAUUAGCUAGUUGGUAAGGUAACGGCUUACCAAGGCGACGAUGCGUAGCCGACGUGAGAGGGUGGUCGCCCGCACUGGAGCUGAAACACGGACCAGACUCCUGCGGGAGGCAGCAGUAGGGAAUCGGCCGCAAUGGGCGAGAGCCUGACGGAGCAGCGCCACGUGAGUGAUGAAGGUCUUCGGAUCGUAAAGCUCUGUUAUUAGGGAAGAACAAAUGUGUAAGUAGCUAUGCACGUCUUGACGGUACCUAAUCAGAAAGCCACGGCUAACUACGUG
RNAcentral lists this ribosomal RNA (497 nucleotides) under uncultured bacterium. Its description in RNAcentral is "partial 16S ribosomal RNA". It matches the Rfam family "Bacterial small subunit ribosomal RNA", at positions 28 to 507 of the family's 1533-position model. The record is from RNAcentral.